This 60-nucleotide transfer RNA is filed under the name Aeromonas salmonicida. RNAcentral's name for it is "tRNA-Val". It matches the Rfam family "tRNA", at positions 7 to 64 of the family's 71-position model. Rfam says of the family: Transfer RNA (tRNA) molecules are approximately 80 nucleotides in length. Their secondary structure includes four short double-helical elements and three loops (D, anti-codon, and T loops). Lineage: Bacteria; Pseudomonadati; Pseudomonadota; Gammaproteobacteria; Aeromonadales; Aeromonadaceae. RNAcentral also lists the same sequence under 1 other name. The record is from RNAcentral.
UUAGCUCAGCUGGGAGAGCACCUCCCUUACAAGGAGGGGGUCACUGGUUCGAUCCCAGUA